GACUCCGGUGACUCCAUCGGUCCACCCCAUGUUGAGCCUGGUGUAUCUUGGAUGAUGGUGUUCAGUCCAGCCAUCACGGUCCUCUCCACCUUCCUGUGCCUGACUUUUGUUUAUCUCUGCAGUCAGAAUGCAGAUGAAAAAGAUCAAAUGACUGAGAGAAGACCUGACAUGGGAGAGGAAAGUACAGUGAAUCAGGAUGAAGACGCAUGUUUCACCAGAGUUGUGUU
Non-coding RNA from Labrus bergylta (ballan wrasse), 227 nucleotides. NCBI's taxonomy places the organism in Eukaryota, Metazoa, Chordata, Actinopteri, Labriformes, Labridae. The record is from RefSeq and is a predicted model, not a curated record.